GAGUUUGAUCCUGGUUCAGGACGAACGCUGGCGGCGUGCCUAACACAUGCGAAGUCGAGCGAUGAAACCCCUUCGGGGGUGGAUUAGCGGCGGACGGGUGAGUAACACGUGGGUAACCUGCCUCAAAGUGGGGGAUAGCCUUCCGAAAGGAAGAUUAAUACCGCAUAAAGCCAAGUUUCACAUGGAAUUUGGAUGAAAGGAGUAAUUCGCUUUGAGAUGGACCCGCGGCGCAUUAGUUAGUUGGUGGGGUAAUGGCCUACCAAGACAGCGAUGCGUAGCCGACCUGAGAGGGUGAUCGGCCACAUUGGAACUGAGAUACGGUCCAGACUCCUACGGGAGGCAGCAGUGGGGAAUAUUGCACAAUGGGCGAAAGCCUGAUGCAGCAACGCCGCGUGAGUGAUGAAGGUCUUCGGAUUGUAAAGCUCUGUCUUUUGGGACGAUAAUGACGGUACCAAAGGAGGAAGCCACGGCUAACUACGUGCCAGCAGCCGCGGUAAUACGUAGGUGGCGAGCGUUGUCCGGAUUUACUGGGCGUAAAGGGUGCGUAGGCGGAUGUUUAAGUGAGAUGUGAAAUACCCGGGCUUAACUUGGGUGCUGCAUUUCAAACUGGAUAUCUAGAGUGCAG
This 625-nucleotide ribosomal RNA is filed under the name uncultured Clostridium sp. RNAcentral describes it as "bacterial SSU rRNA". It matches the Rfam family "Bacterial small subunit ribosomal RNA", at positions 9 to 651 of the family's 1533-position model. The record is from RNAcentral. Lineage: Bacteria; Bacillati; Bacillota; Clostridia; Eubacteriales; Clostridiaceae.